RNAcentral lists this unclassified non-coding RNA (1266 nucleotides) under Hevea brasiliensis (rubber tree). The record is from RNAcentral. Lineage: Eukaryota; Viridiplantae; Streptophyta; Magnoliopsida; Malpighiales; Euphorbiaceae.
GCUGCUGCUGCUGCUUCCAGUGCUGCUUAAUUUCACAAAUCAUUAGCUCCUGCUUGUGAACGGUAGUAGCCCAACACAGAAAACCUAGCUUUCUUCAUAAUGCACUGCUCAAUCUCCGGCGAGGUGCCGGAAGAGCCCGUGGUCUCGAAGAAGUCUGGGCUUUUAUAUGAGAAGCGUUUAAUCGAGAGGCACAUAUCCGAUUAUGGAAAAUGCCCAAUUACUGGGGAACCACUUACAAUGGAUGACAUUGUUCCGGUCAAAACAGGCAAGAUUGUGAAACCAAGAACUGUGCAGACUGCUAGCAUCCCUGGGAUGCUUGGAAUGUUCCAGAAUGAAUGGGAUGGUCUGANNNNNNUUGCUUUGGAGCAACAACUACAUACUGCAAGGCAAGAGCUAAGCCAUGCAUUAUACCAGCAUGAUGCUGCUUGCCGAGUGAUUGCAAGGCUUAAAAAGGAAAGGGAUGAAGCAAGGCUAUUACUUGCACAAGCUGAGAGGCAAAUGCCUAUGUUAGCAACAGCAGCUGCUACAGCUAAUGCCUCUGCUCUUAGCAAUGGAAAAAGAGCUGCUGAGGACGGUGAUUUGGGGCCACCUGGAAAGAGAGCACAUGCUGGAAUUUCUGACAUCAUUACUAAGUUAACAGACUGUAAUGCGGCUCUUUCACAACAGCGGAAAAAGCGGCAGAUUCCUCCAACAUUGUCUCCUGUUGAUGCUUUAGAGAGGUACACACAGCUUUCCAGUCAUCCCCUUCACAAAACCAGCAAGCCAGGCAUUGUCUCUAUUGAUAUCCAUUACCCUAAGGACAUCAUUGCUACUGGAGGCGUUGAUUCCACUGCAGUACUUUUUGAUCGCCUAUCAGGACAGAUCCUAUCUACACUAAGUGGUCACUCAAAGAAGGUCACCAGUGUGAAAUUUGUUGCAGAGGGUGAUUUAUUUUUAACUGGAUCUGCAGACAAGACUGUUCGCAUAUGGCAAGGAUCUGAAGAUGGAAACUAUGACUGCAGACACAUCUUGAAGGAUCAUACUGCUGAGGUAAAUGCUGUCACUGUCCAUGCCACCAACGACUACUUUGUGACUGCUUCUCUCGAUAAUACAUGGUGCUUCUAUGAUCUCUCCUCUGGCUCAUGCUUGACACAGGUCUCUGACACUUCAAAAUCUGACACUUCUAAACCUGAGGGCUAUACAUCUGCAGCUUUUCAUCCUGAUGGUCUCAUCCUUGGAACAGGCACCUCAGAAGCCGUUGUUAAAAUUUGGGAUGUAAAAAGCCAG